GCACUGCUGAGGAGUCCGAUGAUAGGGCGAAACGGCCGUCCAGUGC
This is a non-coding RNA of Schistosoma mansoni, 46 nucleotides long. NCBI's taxonomy places the organism in Eukaryota, Metazoa, Platyhelminthes, Trematoda, Strigeidida, Schistosomatidae. The record is from Rfam.